UACAAAUGUAACCUAGGUGUAAGCGAGUUUGCGCGAGAGCAAUCCCAUGAUAGGUGACCUACUAGGAAGUUAUCGUGUGAGUUUCCAGAAACAAAACCGUGAGGGCCUGGUCGGAGCUCAAAACGGACAAUAUCGUGUUACGGCGGAGUCGAACCCGGGAUAUGAUGAGGGCCCAGGUCCGGGCCGGGAUGUGACACUAGGAGUUUGGAUAAUUUUGUAUAGUUAAUACAUGAAAGAAAUUUUGGAAUUUGGUUGCAAUCACAUUGUUGACAAAAUUAAUUUCGAUGCCAAUAAGCGUUUUGGGUUCUUUUUGUCCUGGUUUCCCCUUUUGCCCACCCACGCUUUCGGGAAAGUUGAUGUCUUUUUCUCAUAGGCAGACUAAACCGAGGGCAUCGUUGUCACUUGACAUGGCAUGGUAUGUGGCAUCACCAUCCAUUCAAGAUGUAUAUGUAGCAUGACAUGACAUUGUCCUUAUCAAAAUAUUUACAGGGUCAUGACUCAUGAUGGACCACACACGCACCUUACACGACCUUCUAAUGCAAGCUCGUGUCUCCUCAAUGUACACCUGCAAAGAGUGGUAUGCAAUUAAAAGUGUUUUUUUUUAUGCCCUAAAAGUAUUACUUCCUACUGUUGCUUUCUAUUUUAUUUAAUUACCGAAAGCAAAUUUAUUAGUGGCAAAGAGCAGUUUCUUCACUUGCAUGUAAUUUAAUAUUUUAGUAGAUAAAGUGUUGAAUUUUU
This 738-nucleotide long non-coding RNA is filed under the name Malus domestica (apple). RNAcentral describes it as "long non-coding RNA (MDOM_LNC010186)". Lineage: Eukaryota; Viridiplantae; Streptophyta; Magnoliopsida; Rosales; Rosaceae. The record is from RNAcentral.